Non-coding RNA from Podarcis lilfordi (Lilford's wall lizard), 76 nucleotides. The record is from the annotation of a GenBank genome assembly. NCBI's taxonomy places the organism in Eukaryota, Metazoa, Chordata, Lepidosauria, Squamata, Lacertidae.
ACCCAGCCUACAGCUCUGUUGGUAGAGCAUGAGACUCUUAAUCGCAGGCUCAUGGGUUCGACCCCCACAUUGGGCA